GAUGAACGCUGGCGGCGUGCCUAAUACAUGCAAGUCGAGCGAACAGACGAGGAGCUUGCUCCUCUGACGUUAGCGGCGGACGGGUGAGUAACACGUGGAUAACCUACCUAUAAGACUGGGAUAACUUCGGGAAACCGGAGCUAAUACCGGAUAAUAUAUUGAACCGCAUGGUUCAAUAGUGAAAGACGGUUUUGCUGUCACUUAUAGAUGGAUCCGCGCCGCAUUAUCGAGUUGGUAAGGUAACGGCUUACCAAGGCGACGAUCCGUAGCCGACCUGGAAGGAGGAGACGACACACUAGAACUGACACACAGGCCAGACUACUACGGGGCGCAGCAGUGGGGAAUAUUUGACAAUAGGCGCAACGCUGAUCCAUCCAUACCGCGUGAGUGAAGAAUUCCUUCGUGUUGUAAAGCCCCUUUGUUGGGAAAGAAAAGCAGCAGGUGAAUACCCCGCUGUUCUGACCGGACCAAAAAAAUAAGCACCGGCUCGGUUCAUU
RNAcentral lists this ribosomal RNA (497 nucleotides) under uncultured bacterium. RNAcentral's name for it is "partial 16S ribosomal RNA". It matches the Rfam family "Bacterial small subunit ribosomal RNA", at positions 28 to 507 of the family's 1533-position model. The record is from RNAcentral.